RNAcentral lists this ribosomal RNA (521 nucleotides) under uncultured bacterium. RNAcentral's name for it is "bacterial SSU rRNA". It matches the Rfam family "Bacterial small subunit ribosomal RNA", at positions 355 to 895 of the family's 1533-position model. The record is from RNAcentral.
UGGGGAAUCUUGGACAAUGGGCGCAAGCCUGAUCCAGCCAUGCCGCGUGAGUGAUGAAGGCCCUAGGGUCGUAAAGCUCUUUCGCCUGUGAAGAUAAUGACGGUAGCAGGUAAAGAAACCCCGGCUAACUCCGUGCCAGCAGCCGCGGUAAUACGGAGGGGGUUAGCGUUGUUCGGAAUUACUGGGCGUAAAGCGCGCGUAGGCGGAUUAGUAAGUCAGAGGUGAAAUCCCGGGGCUCAACCCCGGAACUGCCUUUGAUACUGCUAGUCUUGAGUUCGAGAGAGGUAAGUGGAAUUCCGAGUGUAGAGGUGAAAUUCGUAGAUAUUUGGAGGAACACCAGUGGCGAAGGCGGCUCACUGGCUCGAUACUGACGCUGAGGUGCGAAAGUGUGGGGAGCAAACAGGAUUAGAUACCCUGGUAGUCCACACCGUAAACGAUGAAUGCCAGUCGUCGGGUAGCAUGCUAUUCGGUGACACACCUAACGGAUUAAGCAUUCCGCCUGGGGAGUACGGUCGCAGAUU